Molecule: long non-coding RNA, 728 nt
Organism: Galeopterus variegatus (Sunda flying lemur)
Lineage: Eukaryota; Metazoa; Chordata; Mammalia; Dermoptera; Cynocephalidae
Exons: 2
Source: RefSeq, a predicted model, not a curated record
CCAGAGAGUGACCAGUAGAUGGAAGAAGGGGGGCCACAUUAAGGAAACCUAAAGUAUGUGUCAGCGUGGAAAUGUACUUUAUAUUUGCACACUUCCAGAAUACUUUUGAAACCAGAAUUCAGAAAAAUAAAAGAUAUUUUAUUCCCAGGGAAAAAGAGAUCUGCAGAUGAUUGGCUUCUGUGCUAUGUUGCAAUCCCUUAAUGUCAGACUCAUAGGAGAAUAGGUGGCACAUCUGUGUGUUUGUGUUGGAGCGAAUUCACCCAUAAACACGUGCACCCAUAAACGUGUGCACCCAUGAGUGCAUGCACAUGGGUGCAUGCUCAUAAACACAAACUGCGGCACACCAAGUAUAAACAAAUGAAGCAGAAGUUUAGCAUCAAGUUUGUUCUCAUGUUUGUUAACAUCGUAGCUUUAAAUUUGCUUUCUCCUAACUUAUCAAAUGGAAAUAUGGCUCCAUUUGUUCUUUAAAAAUAUUACCAGAAGCCCUGUCAAUGUGGUAAUUUUACCUUUCAUGUAAUACACUUGCCAACAGCUGUUUUCUGCUGAAAUGGGACUCAAGAUUUUUUAAUCCAAGGCCAGUGCUGCCUGCUCUGUUUACAAUGGCUUGUGUUUUGUGAAUACAUAUCAAAUGUUGUAAUAUAUUUUUAUGAUAGAAUUGAUGGUUAAUACAAGGAAAGAAAGUAUAUAUUGUGAUUCUGUCCAAUAAAGCUUCCUGUUAUAAAAUCUUA